Molecule: ribosomal RNA, 481 nt
Filed under: uncultured bacterium
Lineage: Bacteria
Description: partial 16S ribosomal RNA
Rfam family: Bacterial small subunit ribosomal RNA
Source: RNAcentral
GACGAACGCUGGCGGCGUGCUUAACACAUGCAAGUCGAGCGGUAAGGCCCCUUCGGGGGUACACGAGCGGCGAACGGGUGAGUAACACGUGAGCAAGCUGCCCUUCACACGGGGAUAACUUCGGGAAACCGGAGCUAAUACCCGAUACGACCACCUCGGGCAUCCGAUGGUGGUGGAAAGCUCCGGCGGUGAAGGAUGAGCUCGCGGCCUAUCAGCUUGUUGGUGGGGUAACGGCCCACCAAGGCAACGACGGGUAGCCGGCCUGAGAGGGUGAUCGGCCACACUGGGACUGAGACACGGCCCAGACUCCUACGGGAGGCAGCAGUGGGGAAUAUUGGGCAAUUGGCGAAAGCCUGAUACAGCAACGCCGCGUGAGGGAUGACGGCCUUCGGGUUGUAAACCUCUUUCAGCAGGGACGAAGCGCAAGUGACGGUACCUGCAGAAGAAGCACCGGCCAACUACGUGCCAGCCGCCGCGGUAA